AAUGAACGCUGGCGGCAGGCCUAACACAUGCAAGUCGGACGGGCACUUUCGGGUGCUAGUGGCGGACGGGUGAGUAACGCGUGGGAACAUGCCCUUUGGUACGGAAUAGCCUCGGGAAACUGGGUGUAAUACCGUAUGUGCCCUUCGGGGGAAAGAUUUAUCGCCAAAGGAUUGGCCCGCGUUGGAUUAGGUAGUUGGUGGGGUAAUGGCCUACCAAGCCGACGAUCCAUAGCUGGUUUGAGAGGAUGAUCAGCCACACUGGGACUGAGACACGGCCCAGACACCUACGGGUGGCUG
RNAcentral lists this ribosomal RNA (297 nucleotides) under uncultured Pseudomonadota bacterium. RNAcentral's name for it is "uncultured proteobacterium partial 16S ribosomal RNA". It matches the Rfam family "Bacterial small subunit ribosomal RNA", at positions 29 to 351 of the family's 1533-position model. Lineage: Bacteria; Pseudomonadati; Pseudomonadota. The record is from RNAcentral.